GCUUGUCUCAAAGAUUAAGCCAUGCAUGUCUAAGUAUAAGCAUUAUACAGUGAAACUGCGAAUGGCUCAUUAUAUCAGUUAUAGUUUAUUUGAUAGUCCCUGCUAUUUGGAUAACCGUAGUAAUUCUAGAGCUAAUACAUGACCAGAGGCGCGCCCGCGCCGCAUUUAUUAGAUACAACCAGCCCUCCGGGCCUUGGCGAGUCAUAAUAACUGAGCUGACCGUAUUCGUACGGCGUUUCUUAUUAAUUUCUGCCCUAUCAGCUUUCGAUGGUAGGGUAUUGGCCUACCAUGGCGUUAACGGGUAACGGAGAAUUAGGGUUCGAUUCCGGAGAGGGAGCCUGAGAGAUGGCUACCACAUCCAAGGAAGGCAGCAGG
Molecule: ribosomal RNA, 375 nt
Filed under: uncultured Bicosoecida
Lineage: Eukaryota; Bigyra; Bicosoecida
Description: partial small subunit ribosomal RNA
Rfam family: Eukaryotic small subunit ribosomal RNA
Source: RNAcentral